RNAcentral lists this ribosomal RNA (468 nucleotides) under uncultured bacterium. RNAcentral describes it as "partial 16S ribosomal RNA". It matches the Rfam family "Bacterial small subunit ribosomal RNA", at positions 28 to 507 of the family's 1533-position model. The record is from RNAcentral.
GACGAACGCUGGCGGCGUGCUUAACACAUGCAAGUCGAACGGAAAGGCCCUGCUUUUGUGGGGUGCUCGAGUGGCGAACGGGUGAGUAACACGUGGGUAACCUGCCCUUGACUUUGGGAUAACUUCAGGAAACAGGGGCUAAUACCGGAUAGGAGCUCCUGCUGCAUGGUGGGGGUUGGAAAGUUUCGGCGGUUGGGGAUGGACUCGCGGCUUAUCAGCUUGUUGGUGGGGUAGUGGCUUACCAAGGCUUUGACGGGUAGCCGGCCUGAGAGGGUGACCGGCCACAUUGGGACUGAGAUACGGCCCAGACUCCUACGGGAGGCAGCAGUGGGGAAUAUUGCACAAUGGGCGGAAGCCUGAUGCAGCAACGCCGCGUGCGGGAUGACGGCCUUCGGGUUGUAAACCGCUUUCGCCUGUGACGAAGCGUGAGUGACGGUAAUGGGUAAAGAAGCACCGGCUAACUACGUG